GACGAACGCUGGCGGCGUGCUUAACACAUGCAAGUCGAACGGAAAGGCCCUGCUUUUGUUGGUUGCUCGAUUGGCGAACGGGUGUGUAACACGUGUGUAACCUGCCCUUGACUUUGUGAUAACUUCAGGAAACUGGGGCUAAUACCGGAUAUGAUCUCCUGCUGCAUGUUGGUGGUUGGAAAGUUUCGGCGGUUGUGGAUGGUCUCGCAGCUUAUCCGCUUGUUUGUGUGGUUGUUGCUUACCAAGGCUUUGACGGGUAGCCGGCAUGAGAGGGUUAACGGGCACAUUGGGACUGAGAUAGGGACCAGAAUCCUACGGGACGCAGCAGUGGGGAAUAUUACACAAUGGGCGGAAGCCAGAUGCAGAAACGCUGCGUGCGGGAUGACGGCCUACGGGUUGUAAACAGAUUUCGACUGUGACGAAGAGUGAGUGACGGUAAUGAGUCAAGAAGCAACGGCUAACUACGUG
RNAcentral lists this ribosomal RNA (468 nucleotides) under uncultured bacterium. RNAcentral's name for it is "partial 16S ribosomal RNA". It matches the Rfam family "Bacterial small subunit ribosomal RNA", at positions 28 to 507 of the family's 1533-position model. The record is from RNAcentral.